This 253-nucleotide ribosomal RNA is filed under the name uncultured bacterium. RNAcentral's name for it is "partial 16S ribosomal RNA". It matches the Rfam family "Bacterial small subunit ribosomal RNA", at positions 524 to 776 of the family's 1533-position model. The record is from RNAcentral.
UACGGAGGGUGCUAGCGUUGUUCGGAAUUACUGGGCGUAAAGCGCGCGUAGGCGGACCUGCAAGUCGGGGGUGAAAGCCCGAGGCUCAACCUCGGAACUGCCUUCGAUACUGCGGGUCUCGAGUCCGGGAGAGGUGAGUGGAAUUCCUAGUGUAGAGGUGAAAUUCGUAGAUAUUAGGAAGAACACCAGUGGCGAAGGCGGCUCACUGGCCCUGUACUGACGCUGAGGCGCGAAGGCGUGGGGAGCAAACAGG